Molecule: ribosomal RNA, 205 nt
Filed under: uncultured Syntrophobacteraceae bacterium
Lineage: Bacteria; Pseudomonadati; Thermodesulfobacteriota; Syntrophobacteria; Syntrophobacterales; Syntrophobacteraceae
Description: partial 16S ribosomal RNA
Rfam family: Bacterial small subunit ribosomal RNA
Source: RNAcentral
CGUGUGGGCGGGGAGCAAGUCUGAUGUGAAAGCCCCGGGCUUAACCCGGGAAGUGCAUUGGAAACUGUUUUUCUUGAGUACUGGAGAGGAAGGGGAAUCCCCGGUGUAGAGGUGAAAUUCGUAGAGAUCGGGAGGAAUACCAGUGGCGAAGGCGCCCUUCUGGACGGUUACUGACGCUGAGACGCGAAAGCGUGGGGAGCAAACA